UCACAGUAUCAAGCUUGGCUUGUCGUUGGGCCCUUUGUCACCUGGUGACAGGUCCCAAAGAGAAUGACUGGUGUCGUAAAGACUCUAAAUGCAACGAGCUUAUAACAGCACGCAUCUAGUAGUAAUAUGGCCCGGUUCUCACCUCUUUAUUUCUCAA
This 157-nucleotide unclassified non-coding RNA is filed under the name uncultured Herpotrichiellaceae. RNAcentral's name for it is "sequence contains ITS2". The record is from RNAcentral. Lineage: Eukaryota; Fungi; Ascomycota; Eurotiomycetes; Chaetothyriales; Herpotrichiellaceae.